Molecule: long non-coding RNA, 332 nt
Filed under: Serinus canaria (Common canary)
Lineage: Eukaryota; Metazoa; Chordata; Aves; Passeriformes; Fringillidae
Description: lncRNA (ENSSCAG00000016267.1)
Source: RNAcentral
AAAAGUUUGUCCUUCUUUUGUCCAGAGCAGAAGAAUGCUGAAUGUACAGAUCUGAGCUGCAGCUUCCUUGGAUUUCCAAGCCAAACCUGCAGUGAUAUCCCAGCUGGGAAAGGAAAAUAGAAAAUCUCCACCUGAACAGUGUAUUGUGAGGGAUGGCUCCAAAUGAAGAAAAGCAAGAGCAACUAGGAGGCUCAAAUCUGUAAAUUAAAAAGGGGAACAUGGAAAUACCACUGGGAAAGCAGAGAUGUCCUUGGCUCUGAGUUUCGCAUUUUGCUAUGCAUUUUAGGCUCUGCUAUAAGGAACUGUCCACAGUAAAUGUACAGCACUGCAGC